Molecule: transfer RNA, 72 nt
Organism: Camelus ferus (Wild Bactrian camel)
Lineage: Eukaryota; Metazoa; Chordata; Mammalia; Artiodactyla; Camelidae
Rfam family: tRNA
About the family: Transfer RNA (tRNA) molecules are approximately 80 nucleotides in length.
Source: Rfam
GAGGGUAUCGCUCAGCGGUAGAGAACAUGCUUAGCAUGCACGAGGCCCUGGGUUCAAUCCCCAGUACCGCCA